AACGCGAAGAACCUUACCUACUCUUGACAUCCUGUGAACUGGGCUGAAAGGCUUGGGUGCCGAAAGGAACACAGAGACAGGUGCUGCAUGGCUGUCGUCAGCUCGUGUUGUGAGAUGUUGGGUUAAGUCCCGUAACGAGCGCAACCCUUGCCCUUAGUUGCCAGCGAGUAAAGUCGGGGACUCUAAGGGGACUGCCGGUGAAGAAUCGGAGGAAGGCGGGGACGACGUCAAGUCAUCAUGGCCUUUAUGAGUAGGGCUACACACGUGCUACAAUGGUGCGCCCAAAGGGAAGCGAAACUGUGAAGUGAAGCAAAUCUCAAAAAACGCAUCUUAGUCCGGAUUAAAGUCUGCAACUCGACUUUAUGAAGCUGGAAUCGCUAGUAAUCGCGGAUCAGCAAUGCCGCGGUGAAUACGUUCCCGGGCCUUGUACACACCGAUAGC
Molecule: ribosomal RNA, 441 nt
Filed under: uncultured bacterium
Lineage: Bacteria
Description: bacterial SSU rRNA
Rfam family: Bacterial small subunit ribosomal RNA
Source: RNAcentral